CAGGUCUGUGAUGCCCUUAGAUGUCCGGGGCCGCACGCGCGCUACAAUGACGGUGUCAACGAGUUAGACCUUCUGGCCCGAAAGGGUUGGGCAAACUGGUCAAUCACCGUCGUGACAGGGAUCGGGGCUUGGAAUUGUUCCCCGUGAACGAGGAAUUCCUAGUAAGUGCAAGUCAUAAGCUUGCGCUGAUUACGUCCCUGCCCUUUGUACACACCGC
This 217-nucleotide ribosomal RNA is filed under the name Alteromonas sp. ZYF713. RNAcentral describes it as "partial 16S ribosomal RNA". It matches the Rfam family "Eukaryotic small subunit ribosomal RNA", at positions 1457 to 1672 of the family's 1831-position model. The record is from RNAcentral. Lineage: Bacteria; Pseudomonadati; Pseudomonadota; Gammaproteobacteria; Alteromonadales; Alteromonadaceae.